CCUACGGGUGGCAGCAGUGGGGAAUAUUGCACAAUGGGGGAAACCCUGAUGCAGCGACGCCGCGUGAGCGAUGAAGUAUUUCGGUAUGUAAAGCCCUAUCAGCAGGGAAGAAAAUGACGGUACCUGUCUAAGAAGCCCCGGCUAACUACGUGCAAGCAGCCGCGGUCAUCCGUAGGGGGCCAGCGUUAUCCGGAUUUAAUGGGUGUAAAGGGAGCGUAGACGGGCCUGCAGGCCAGAUGUGAAAGCCCGGGGCUCAACCCCGGGACUGCAUUUGGAACUGGAAGUCUAGAGUGUAGGAGAGGCAGGCGGAAUGCCUAGUGUAGCGGUGAAAUGCGUAGAUAUUAGGAGGAACACCAGUGGCGAAGGCGGCCUGCUGGACGAUGACUGACGUUGAGGCUCGAAAGCGUGGGGAGCAAACAGGAUUAGAUACCCCAGUAGUC
This 440-nucleotide ribosomal RNA is filed under the name uncultured bacterium. RNAcentral's name for it is "partial 16S ribosomal RNA". It matches the Rfam family "Bacterial small subunit ribosomal RNA", at positions 338 to 795 of the family's 1533-position model. The record is from RNAcentral.